Molecule: long non-coding RNA, 2756 nt
Organism: Trichechus manatus latirostris (Florida manatee)
Lineage: Eukaryota; Metazoa; Chordata; Mammalia; Sirenia; Trichechidae
Exons: 3
Source: RefSeq, a predicted model, not a curated record
CGAAACCCGGGAUCGAACCAGGGACCUUUAGAUCUUCAGUCUAACGCUCUCCCAACUGAGCUAUUUCGGCCACCAAGAAAGUUCGUCUCUCUUUUCUUCCUCCUCGUCGAGCUCGCAAGGCCCCGGCUCUUGGGCUGGGUUCAGCCUGAUACCGGCACUCCGGAAUCUGUCAUCUACGUGCGACGGCCCCUCCUGCGAGAAACGUUCCCUGAGCACUCCUCCGGACACAGUCACAGCCACUUAUUAUAUAUUGUUAGCUUAUUUUCUGAUUUCUUCGUCCAUUCUCUGCCUCCACAGCUGGCAUGACAGCCCCAAGAGGAGCAAGGAAGUCGCCUGCUUUGAUCACUACUGUAUCCCUCAGUGCCUAGCAAAGUGCCUGAACCGUAGUAGGUGCUUAAUAAAUAUUUGUUGGGUAAACGAACGAACAAACGAAUAACCGAAUCCUUCCUGGCUCAGAGCUCAGCUUCUCAAGCUUGCCUCUCUGCACAAAGGAAUAACGUCACCCUUGGGUGCAGCUCCCCAAACAGCCUAAGGUGUGACAGGGACGCUGACCACACCAAGGCCUGUAGGAAGACACACCAACUAGAAGUGGCUUUCCUUGGGGCACUGAGUGACUCAUAUCCGGCCUCCAAACGUGGCCUUCUCUCCUUUGGGCUCCUGCUCAGUUUCAAGGAACUAUGCUUAUUCCUGGAGGGCGCGACAUCCUUUGUGUGUACCCUAAUUUAGGCUGCUGUGAGAACGACUACGACUAACAAUAAGCAAGCACGGAUAAGUUCUAUGAAGACAACGUAAGUGAUGAGAUGGAGGCUGAACGGCGGCGGAGGCUGCUUUGGACAAGCUGCCGGGGAAGCCUCUCUGAGAUGACAUUUCAGGUCUGCGGAAAGGGCACGUGCGGCAAAGGGAAAGGCAAGUGCAAGGGCCCUGAGGCUGUGGGGAGGGUAUGGACUGUGUGUUGUUGGGACAGAAAGCAAGGCCCGUGCAGGGAACUUAGAGCUUGAGGGGAGAGGGGUUGAACUUGCUCUUCGAAGACACCGAAAGGCUUGACGCAGGGGAGUGACACAAUCCGAUUUAGGCUUCAAAAGGCUCCCUCUGGCUGCCACGUAGGGAAUAGACUUUGGGAAGGCAGGGCCCGUGGAGGCUACAGCCAUGGCCCAGUGGGAGUUGGUGGAAGCUUGUCCUGGGUGGAGCAGUGGAUGACAGGGUUCUGGAUAAACUGUGGAGUAAUUCCAGCAGGACUUGAGGUGGGAAGUGGGAGAGACAGGACUCUGGGAAGCUUCCUAUUCUGGAGGCACCCAGGAGCUGGUGGAGAGAGGGCUGUGGGAAAACUGAACCGGUUUAGAAUAUUCAAAUGUGUCUUUGCUGUUUUACUUAUGCACUUAUAGAAUUCAUGUGUUUGUUAUGACAUCAGCAGGAAUUUAAGAAAAAAUACAUAAGCAAAAGUGAGGGAAAAUCAACAUCCUAUGGAAGCUCACAGUGACCAUCAUUAACACUUUUGUGGGUACCUAACCAGACUAGUUUCCAUAUUCAAGUCUGGGCAGGUCUCCUAUGUAUGUUUGGAGGUCCCUAUGUUUGUAGCUGCAGUCACGGUCACACAGCCAGAUCGAAAGAGACAAAGACUCAAGCGGGUGUAGAAGGGCCCAGGGGAGGCUUCCUUAUGCUCUCCCUCCAGGAGGGUGACACCCAGCACCCUCUCCCCAGCCACCAAAAGAGAGCAGCACAUGAGCAGUGUUUCUGCCCAGGGAAGCCCACUAGACACUCGGCGGCCGGGGUUAUACUGGGGACCGCUCAUGUAGGCACUAGCCCCUUGUUAGACAGGUGAGUUGUAAAUAUUGUCUCCCAUUCUGUGGGUUGUCUUUUCACUUUUUAUGCCGUCUUUUGAAGCACAAGUGUGAAACUGAUGGUACAACCAUAUCACACAGUACUUCGCACGCCUACCACGCGUCAGCAUUUCAGACUGUCAGAAGUACAGCAGGCGCUCAGCAGCACUUGUCGGCAGUGAGCCACCGUCAUCAGGAAACAGAGGGAACCCUCCGGAAAGCCAAGUUCCCGGCCUCCAGCCUAGGGCCCACCGUGCAAGCAGGCCUUUCUAGGAGAGCAGUCUCAGCCUCCUCUGUGAACUCUUUCCAUAUCACAUAUAACUAGGGAGGACCCUGUUGGUCAGCUUUGCAACGUGGUUUCUUUUCACUCAGCACACACGUCCUAAACACUGCUUCAUGUUAAUAAGUAUCACAGUGAAUGGCUGCAAAGUAUUUCAUGCCAUGGCUGUACCAGAUAAACACUGUGGUAUAUACACACAGUGGAAUAUUAUUCAGCCAUAAAAAGAAAUGAAGUACUGAUACAUGCUACAACAUGGAUGCAACCUGAAUGAAAGAAGACACGAAAGAUCACGUAUUGCAUGAUCCCAUUUGUUUGAAAUAUCCAGAAUAGGCAAAUCCAUAGAGACAGAAAGUAGGUUAGUAGUUGCCGAGGGCUGGGGAAGAAAUAAGGGGGUAGCUGCUAAUGGGCACGGGUUUUCUUUUUGGGAAUGAUAAAAACAUUCUGGAAUUAGGUAGUGAUGAUGUUUAAACAACUCCAAAUACUAAAAGCCACUGAAUUGUACUCUUUAAAAUGCUGAUUUAUACGGUAUAUUAAUUAUCUACCAAUAAAAAAAAAUUUAAAAAAAAAAGAGUUCCCUAAUGAUGUUUUUUUCCUUCGCCGUGGUGGCUGAGUGAAGGACGGGAGAAGUAGGGCAGGAAGUCAGCUGGGAGGCUGCUUGG